GCUGGCAGCCAUAUCACCCUGUAGCCCAAGACUGGUUGCCCACUGAAGCUAAGCAGGGCUGAGCCUGGUCAGUACCUGGAUGGGAGACCUCCUGGGAAAACUAGGUUGCUGCUGGAA
This 117-nucleotide ribosomal RNA is filed under the name Sinocyclocheilus rhinocerous. Lineage: Eukaryota; Metazoa; Chordata; Actinopteri; Cypriniformes; Cyprinidae. The record is from RNAcentral.